RNAcentral lists this ribosomal RNA (435 nucleotides) under uncultured delta proteobacterium. Its description in RNAcentral is "bacterial SSU rRNA". It matches the Rfam family "Bacterial small subunit ribosomal RNA", at positions 9 to 429 of the family's 1533-position model. The record is from RNAcentral. Lineage: Bacteria; Deltaproteobacteria.
GAGUUUGAUCUUGGCUCAGAGCGAACGUUAGCGGCGGGCCUAACACAUGCAAGUCGAACGAGAAAGCCCUUUCGGGGGCGAGUACAGUGGCGCACGGGUGAGUAACACGUAGGUAAUCUACCCUCCGGCGGGGGACAACGUUCCGAAAGGGACGCUAAUACCGCAUAAGACCACGGUCUCUAAGGGGACAGUGGGAAAAGGUGGCCUCUCCUUGGAAGCUACCACCGGAAGAUGAGCCUGCGUCCCAUCAGCUAGUUGGUAGGGUAAUGGCCUACCAAGGCGAAGACGGGUAGCUGGUCUGAGAGGAUGAUCCGCCACACUGGGACUGAGACACGGCCCAGACUCCUACGGGAGGCAGCAGUGGGGAAUUUUGGACAAUGGGGGCAACCCUGAUCCAGCCAUGCCGCGUGAGUGAAGAAGGCCUUCGGUUGUAAG